This 360-nucleotide ribosomal RNA is filed under the name uncultured bacterium. RNAcentral describes it as "bacterial SSU rRNA". It matches the Rfam family "Bacterial small subunit ribosomal RNA", at positions 29 to 418 of the family's 1533-position model. The record is from RNAcentral.
AACGAACGCUGGCGGCAGGCCUAACACAUGCAAGUCGAACGCUCCGCAAGGGGAGUGGCGCACGGGUGAGUAACACGUGGGAACCUACCUUCUGGUACGGAACAACCAAGGGAAACUUUGGCUAAGACCGUAUACGACCUCCGGGUGAAAGAUUGAUCGCCGGAAGAGGGGCCCGCGUCCGAUUAGGUAGUUGGUGAGGUAACGACUCACCAAGCCUUCGAUCGGUAGCUGGUCUGAGAGGAUGACCAGCCACACUGGGACUGAGACACGGCCCAGACUCCUACGGGAGGCAGCAGUGGGGAAUAUUGGACAAUGGGCGCAAGCCUGAUCCAGCCAUGCCGCGUGAGUGAUGAAGGCCUU